RNAcentral lists this unclassified non-coding RNA (709 nucleotides) under Homo sapiens (human). Its description in RNAcentral is "ribonuclease/angiogenin inhibitor 1 (ENSG00000276230.4)". Lineage: Eukaryota; Metazoa; Chordata; Mammalia; Primates; Hominidae. The record is from RNAcentral.
CGCCCACGAGCCGGCUCGAACACGCCCGCGCCGCUGACUGGCGGGUGGGGUUGUCGACACGUUCAACCCGUUCUGCUGGCUCGAGAACGAAGUAGGCCGUCUCGCUCUGGGUCUCCAGGCCCGCGACCGUCCGCCAGUCGUCCCGAGGCCACUCUUCACCUCCACCAUGAGCCUGGACAUCCAGAGCCUGGACAUCCAGUGUGAGGAGCUGAGCGACGCUAGAUGGGCCGAGCUCCUCCCUCUGCUCCAGCAGUGCCAAGUGGUCAGGCUGGACGACUGUGGCCUCACGGAAGCACGGUGCAAGGACAUCAGCUCUGCACUUCGAGUCAACCCUGCACUGGCAGAGCUCAACCUGCGCAGCAACGAGCUGGGCGAUGUCGGCGUGCAUUGCGUGCUCCAGGGCCUGCAGACCCCCUCCUGCAAGAUCCAGAAGCUGAGCCUCCAGAACUGCUGCCUGACGGGGGCCGGCUGCGGGGUCCUGUCCAGCACACUACGCACCCUGCCCACCCUGCAGGAGCUGCACCUCAGCGACAACCUCUUGGGGGAUGCGGGCCUGCAGCUGCUCUGCGAAGGACUCCUGGACCCCCAGUGCCGCCUGGAAAAGCUGCAUUGUCCUUUGCAAGGCACAGCUGCCCCAGGACCCGACGGUGGGAACAGAUGCCUGGCCGUGAGUCAGGUUCCACUCACCGCCUCAGUGUGUGUGGGGGAC